Long non-coding RNA from Lactuca sativa (garden lettuce), 1070 nucleotides. RefSeq lists it as uncharacterized. The record is from RefSeq and is a predicted model, not a curated record. NCBI's taxonomy places the organism in Eukaryota, Viridiplantae, Streptophyta, Magnoliopsida, Asterales, Asteraceae.
UUUUAUCGUGAAUGAAGUUUGACGUUCAAGGCAAUAGACUGUUGGACGAUCGAUCAAGGCAGCAGUCUAAAGUCCGCAACUCGCAUGUAGGGAUGAGAAAAACACUCGAUCGAUCAAAUACUCAUGUCGUCGAUUUGUCGAUCGCUUUGAUUUUUUGUUUCCAGGUUACGUGGAUAUUAGGUAUUUGGGUUACGAACUUACGAUGGAUUGAACACGAUAGUACAAGACCGAAUAAGCUAUCGAUCAAGGGAAAAAAAUGUGACUUUUCAAAUUCGGUUCGGUCCAUUUGGCCCGAAUAAGCCCUUAUUCUGGUAACCCGAACCGAAUAACCCGAAACCUGAAUAAGCUUAAUAUAGAUACCCGAAAACCGAAUUGAAUUGCUUAUUCGGGCCUAAUUCAGUUCGGUUCGGUUCGGGUUUUCGGGCCAAAUUCUCGUCAGACCCACCAAACCCUAAAUCCCUUUAUGGCGUGUUUUUGCUUAUGUCGAUAUAGACAAAAGAUAUUGUGAUCGGGAGAAAAGUGCAACAGCUGUGGUGUCGAUCCAAGGAGGAAGACGAGGACGGAAACGUCAAGCAAGAAGAAGAAUUUGGUUGUGGGAUCGGCUACAACAGGUAAAACUUCUUGGUUCUUUUUUUUCUUUCUUCCUUUCCUUCUAUCUUCCUUCUUCUCGAUUUUUUUCCCUAACCCAAAACCACCUUGGCCAGUGAUUGUAUCUAGCUUCACCAUUCAAUGGUAGCAGGUCAGCGCAGUAACCCUCCCUCCCGCCAUCGUCCCUCCUUUGGCCUGAUCCAGGGGCCGAAGGACUUCACACACAACAUAACAUCCCUGACCUCGCCUUUCUCGCACAAAAAAUCGACAUUUCCAGUGAAGACCUGAUGUCUGUCAUAUCACUUGAUGUGGUAGCAGAGAAGAGGAUCAAAAGGCUGGCUAUGAAGGAUAGGAGAGAAAAGAGUAGUAAAAGGAUGAAAAUUCUUCAAUAUUUCGUCCCUAGGUGUAAUAAGGUUAUAGGAAAAGCACUCGUACUUGAUGAAAUAAUCAAGUACAUUCAAUCACUGCAACAUCAAGUGAAG